Molecule: long non-coding RNA, 450 nt
Organism: Microplitis mediator
Lineage: Eukaryota; Metazoa; Arthropoda; Insecta; Hymenoptera; Braconidae
Exons: 3
Source: RefSeq, a predicted model, not a curated record
CGUCGGCAAUUUGCAGUAUAUCACAGUAUAUUUAUUGUUUAUGAACAUAUACAUAAUCCUUGAGAACUAGACGUAUAUAAAAGCUCAGAUUUUAAUCGAUGUUGUUGCAGACGUCUUCAUCUUCAGCAUCGCUCGAGUGUUCAAAGUUGACAUCGUUUUAAAUCGUGAAGAACGAAAAAAGUUUCCAAAAUGUUCAAACUGUUGGUAUUCACUUUUUUGAUGAUCGUAUUGGUCGCAACCGUUAAUGCAAUUCCGGAUUGUACAGGAAGAUGGUGUCACCCGAGUAAAGGUUACGGCUGCUGCGAGGCUUAUGUUUGUUCAAACAUUUUCAGACAAGGUACUUGUCGGUUUAAUUUUCCCUAAUAAAUGGGAAGUUCAUUUUGUUACAAGUUAUAGGCAAAUGUAUCACUUCCGUAAUAAAUAAACUGAAUUUUUCACACAAAAAAAAAA